This 465-nucleotide ribosomal RNA is filed under the name uncultured bacterium. RNAcentral describes it as "partial 16S ribosomal RNA". It matches the Rfam family "Bacterial small subunit ribosomal RNA", at positions 28 to 507 of the family's 1533-position model. The record is from RNAcentral.
GACGAACGCUGGCGGCGUGCUUAACACAUGCAAGUCGAACGGAAAGGCCCUGCUUGCAGGGUACUCGAGUGGCGAACGGGUGAGUAACACGUGGGUGAUCUGCCCUGCACUUCGGGAUAAGCCUGGGAAACUGGGUCUAAUACCGGAUAGGAGCCAUUUUUAGUGUGAUGGUUGGAAAGUUUUUUCGGUGUAGGAUGAGCUCGCGGCCUAUCAGCUUGUUGGUGGGGUAAUGGCCUACCAAGGCGGCGACGGGUAGCCGGCCUGAGAGGGUGGACGGCCACAUUGGGACUGAGAUACGGCCUAGACUCCUACGGGAGGCAGCAGUGGGGAAUAUUGCACAAUGGGCGCAAGCCUGAUGCAGCGACGCCGCGUGGGGGAUGACGGCCUUCGGGUUGUAAACUCCUUUCGCUAGGGACGAAGCUUUUUGUGACGGUACCUAGAUAAGAAGCACCGGCUAACUACGUG